Oncorhynchus tshawytscha (Chinook salmon) is the source of this 3958-nucleotide long non-coding RNA. The record is from Ensembl. NCBI's taxonomy places the organism in Eukaryota, Metazoa, Chordata, Actinopteri, Salmoniformes, Salmonidae.
UGUCAAAGACUCGGUCUGCAUCCCAAAUGGCACCCUAUUCCAUAUAUAGUGCACUACUUUUGACCAGAACCCGGGUCAUAUGUAGUGCACUAUAUAGGGAAAAGGGUGCCAAUAAAGACGCAGCCUCUCUCCACUCACAGGUCAGCCUCAGCUCUAUGGUUACAUGUCUAGUGUAGUAGGAUAGACAUGCAAUGGCAUGGAUCAGCCCUUUGUCCUGAAUAUGUUGCAGCUUAUUGUGUGUGAAUGUACUGUAACUAUGUCCUCUAUUGGACGUGUUAGUCAGUACAGCUUUGUCUUAUAUCCUCUAUUCUACAACCCAGACAAACUGAGGUGAGCUCUACUGCGCUGGCCUACUGGAAUUAUGCUGGAAACAUUUGAUGAACUAACGCAGUAUGGUUCAGAUUGGCACAACAGUGUGAAAAGGCUGAGAGAGAGAGAGAACAGAAGAGAGAGAGAGAACAGAAGAGAGAGAACAGAAGACAGAGAGAGAGAGAACAGAAGACAGAGAGAGAGAGAACAGAAGAGAGAGAGAGAGAGAGAACAGAAGAGAGAGAGAGAACAGAAGAGAGAGAGAGAACAGAAGACAGGGAGAGAGAGAGAACAGAAGACAGAGAGAGAACAGAAGACAGAGAGAGAGAACAGAAGAGAGAGAACAGAAGAGAGCGAGAGAGAGAGAGAGAGAGAGAGAGAGAGAGAGAGAGCGAGCGCAACCAGCCAGUCGAGGCUCUCAAUUUUAAGUGGGGACUCUGACUUUGACUCUGGACAGAUUUAGGUCAGUCAUGCUCAGUGGUGGAAAAACUACCCAGUUGUCAUACUUGAGUAAAAGUAUAGAUACCUUAAUAGAAAGUUACUCAAGUAAAAGUGAAAGUCACCCAGUAAAAUACUACUUGAGUAAAAGUCUUAAAGUAGUUGGUUCUAAAUAUACUUAAGUAUCAAAUGUAAUUGUUAAAAUAUACUUAAGUAUCAAAAGUAAAAGUAUAAAUCAUUUCAAAUUCCUUAUAUAAAUCAAGAACAUACGGCACUAUUUUCUUGUUUUUAAAAUCUAUGGAUAGCCAGGGGUACACAUUAACACUCAGACAUCAUUUACAAACGAUGCAUAUGUGUUCAGUGAGUCAGCCAGAUCAGAGGCAGUAGAGAUGACCAGGGAUGUUCUCUGUUCAGUGAGUCAGCCAGAUCAGAGGCAGUAGAGAUGACCAGGGAUGUUCUCUGUUCAGUGAGUCAGCCAGAUCAGAGGCAGUAGAGAUGACCAGGGAUGUUCUCUGUUCAGUGAGUCAGCCAGAUCAGAGGCAGUAGAGAUGACCAGGGAUGUUCUCUGUUCAGUGAGUCAGCCAGAUCAGAGGCAGUAGAGAUGACCAGGGAUGUUCUCUGUUCAGUGAGUCAGCCAGAUCAGAGGCAGUAGAGAUGACCAGGGAUGUUCUCUGUUCAGUGCGUGAAUUGGACCAUAUUCCUGUCCUGCUAAGCACUCAACAUGCAACGAGUACUUUUGGGUGUCAAGGAAAAUGUAUGUAGUAAAAAGUACAUUAUUGUCUUUAGGAAUGUAGUGAAGUAAAAGUUGUCAAAAAUAUGAAUAGUAAAGCAAAGUACAGGUACCCCAAAAAACGACUUAAGUAGUACUUUAAAGUAUUUUUACUUAAGUACUUUACACCACUGGUCAUGCUGAACUGAAUAUUAUUAUUAUUCGUAGUUAGAAUGCUUUACUGGAAACGGCACUGAAAAUGUCUCUGAACUCUGGCUGCUCUGGCGCAGGAUCAAGGCAGUGGUCCUGGCCUUCAGCCACAGAAUAGGAAUGCUGCCUUCUUGUCCUUUUUGUUACUGGACAGAAUAACAAGUGGCUUUACUGGCUGAAGUAGCUGGGUCCUCCAGUACUCUCACUGGGCACAGACGUUAAUUUACCGUCUAUUCCGCGAUGGUCCGUUCAACGUAAUUUCAUUGAAAUGACAUGCAAACAGCAUUGAUACAACCAGUGUGGCCACAGUGGGAUGUGUAUAUAAUUCUAUGUGCUUUACAGCCAGCUCUACUGACUUGCGUCGUCACGGCAUGCCAUACAUUGUUAGUGGAGUUUGGCAUGACAACGGACACGACCAAGGAGUCAGGCUGUAGCUCAAACAGGCCUGCUACCAGCAGGCUAGCUUCAAAAGGCCUUUUCACAUGUGGUUAUCCCAAGUCUAUACUUAACCCCAGACGCUCUUAGUCCUGGGCUAGAAACGCUAGAGCAGGGGUUCUCAAAGUGGGGUCUGCAGACACCUGGGAAGGGGAAAACUGAAAACUAGCUGUUAUUGGCAGAGAGGUUUGGAACUCUCUUUCUUAUUGGUCUAUUAACUCAUUUACUGCUAGGCAGAACAAAACUCCAUCCGAUCAAAACAUAAUGACAUUUUAGGAGGACUUUUCGAACAGCUCUUACAGCAUUAUCAUAAAUAAAAUGCAAAUGAAUUACUUAAAAAUCAUACAAUGUGAUUUUCUGGAUUUUUGUUUGAGAUUCCGUCUCUCACAGUUGAAGUGUACCUAUGAUUUAAAAAAAUUACAGACCUCUACAUGCCUUGUAAGUAGGAAAACCUGAAAAAUCGGCAGUGUAUCAAAUACUUGUUCUACUCACUGUAAAUAUAAUGUUUGACUGCACUGGGCCUUUAAAACGGCAAAGUUGUAUCUGCCUCAUGACAAAAUGUGUAGAAUUGCAGGAAAUGUGCUUGAAAACGGCAACAUUUUUUCUCUGAUGUCAAGAGGCGGGCUUUAAAAUGUUCCUUUCCCUGGCCAGAGACUUGGUUCAUCCAGCCAUGCACUGCUGAAGUCAUGGUAAAACUGGACUUGUUCUGAUUAAGAGGGCGUCCCUGUUGAAUUCCCUUUCUUUUCUCUUGCACAAGUUGAACACAAUUAAAGAAGACGAUUAAAGAAGACUGAGGAACAUAUUUAUUUCAUGAGUCUCUGGUGACGUAUUUGCCACAAAUAGUCACAUAACAUCGUUUUAAAUUGAAAGGAAGCCAAGUCUGAAUAUCAAAAGAAGCAGGGUGGGAUAUUUAUAAAAGAGAUGAUUUGUAGGCAGCGCUCUGAGAAUCCCUUAGAAGAGAGAGACAGACAAGGCCCCAGGUGCUUCUGAUGUUUACAUUGUAACCAUCUCUCUCUCCCUCUCUGAGGAGAGUUGUGUAAUUUCAUUGAGAGAACUGGACCGCAAAGUGCUACGUGCAGGGAAUACAGUCACAAGCAGUUCGGCUGUCAUUCUAACCACACACACACACACACUGCAACACAGACAUGGACACACACAGACACCCACAUGCGCACGCACACGGAUACGCACAGUCCGACACGUAGGUCUCUGAACACCAUGCAUGUACUGUGUGUGUAUUCAGCUGUGUGAGUUCAGCUGUGUGCUUGCUUAUGAGGAGAAAAUAUUGGUAUGUAAUCAUAUAUACAGUACGUAGUAGUACUUGAUGUGAUACUUGAAUAGCACUUAGGUCGUAUUCAUUAGGGCACACUGUAGCAAAAGAUUUUACAACGGAAUAUGAAAACUAACGUUUCUCAUUGGAUAAGUUCAGGCAUUUCCACACUACUUCGGUCUGUUUUCUUCCGUUCGGUGCCUAAUGAACACGUCCCUGGUAUGAGGUGAUGUGAUGUAAAGAUGGAGUGAUGAUUGUGCUGCAAAAGAGAAGAGAGAAAAAGAGGGACAUCUACCUCUACGCCGGGUGAGGGAUGUCUUUAACAAAUAGUGGACAGCCAUGUCUGUCUGCUGAAACCAAUGCUGUUUAUUUGUCACUAGUGACAGAAAAUGUAUGUCUCUCUGCCCAUUAUUCUGUGAUGAAUACAACUGUAUAUCUAUUUGUAUAUUUAUACUCUGUCUGAACGUGUAUAUUUUAAUUUUAAUUGUUGUAGUACCCCUUUCCUGCAGUCGAAUGACCUAGUGGCCUCAUGGGUGGAAUGUUAUUCAUAUUUUUCAUAAUUUCAUAAUUAAUAAACAUUAUUUUUU